This 482-nucleotide ribosomal RNA is filed under the name uncultured bacterium. Its description in RNAcentral is "partial 16S ribosomal RNA". It matches the Rfam family "Bacterial small subunit ribosomal RNA", at positions 30 to 507 of the family's 1533-position model. The record is from RNAcentral.
AUUGAACGCUGGCGGCAUGCUUUACACAUGCAAGUCGAACGGUAACAGGCCGCAAGGUGCUGACGAGUGGCGAACGGGUGAGUAAUGCAUCGGAACGUGCCCAGUCGUGGGGGAUAACUACUCGAAAGAGUAGCUAAUACCGCAUACGAUCUAUGGAUGAAAGCGGGGGACCGUAAGGCCUCGCGCGAUUGGAGCGGCCGAUGACAGAUUAGGUAGUUGGUGGGGUAAAGGCUCACCAAGCCAACGAUCUGUAGCUGGUCUGAGAGGACGACCAGCCACACUGGGACUGAGACACGGCCCAGACUCCUACGGGAGGCAGCAGUGGGGAAUUUUGGACAAUGGGCGCAAGCCUGAUCCAGCAAUGCCGCGUGCAGGAAGAAGGCCUUCGGGUUGUAAACUGCUUUUGUACGGAACGAAACGGCUCUGGUUAAUACCCGGGGCUAAUGACGGUACCGUAAGAAUAAGCACCGGCUAACUACGUG